Molecule: long non-coding RNA, 3108 nt
Organism: Oryza sativa Japonica Group (Japanese rice)
Lineage: Eukaryota; Viridiplantae; Streptophyta; Magnoliopsida; Poales; Poaceae
Source: RefSeq, a predicted model, not a curated record
GCAAUACCAUGGGUAAUUGCGAAGUGGGGGCAAACUAGGGAGGGUCGUUUUUGACAGAAUUACAGAACUAAAUCACCUAUUGCUGCCACUAUGUUAUCAGAGUACAGUUUUUUCUUUAUUUGUUUGAUUGUAGUUUUACACAUCACAUGCUGGGCAUGAGGCCACAUAGUAGACUACUAAAAUGCAGGCCACAGGUCUAACCACAUUGGUGACUGCAUAAGUGCAUAGAGGGGAUCAGGGGCGGUGUACUAAUUGGAGAUUCCAUCGUUCCAGUAUAGCUGUGUACUUGUGUAGAGUAGGGCCAAAUAAAAUUUGUCCUCUCUAUUCAUUGGACGGAAAACCACAGAUUCCGUGACAAUUAUCUGGGAGUUCUAGUAUCUUCCCACUACCUUGGCAUUGAUCUAUUUUUAUUUAUAAGAACAAGAAAACCCUUGUUGUACACACAAAUAUUUGGUUUUCUCUAGCAGCAAAUUGCAUAAAAAUAAAUCUUUAUUGUAUGAAACUUGUGGGCAAAAGAUCUCUUGCAAUGCAUUUGAAGUUGCACUGUCAAGUGUUGAACUGUCAUCUCUUGUGCAGUAUCCAGGCUAACCAUUCCAACUUUUUAUGUAAAAGUGCUUCUAUGCUACUCGUAAAAAGAUACCAAGGAAGCUUCAUUAAUCAGUACAGUGAAUUAUGGAGCUGUCUGUCUCUGGCACCAACUCAGGGUAAAUCAUUUUUAGCCGUUGAUGCUAUGUUAGCUUAAACAAUUUUCUCUGGAGAUCACCGAACUGCUUGCUUAUUUAAAUGCACACUGUGCUUAUUCCUAGGAUUGCAUCUCGUAAAACUGCAUAUGUACGGCCUGUUACUUGUCUACUUUGGAUUGGUUAGUGUUUUAAUUUAAUCAUCUUUUUAUUAUAAGAUCUUUACUUUCCUCUAUUUUCCAGACUUGUGAAUAUUAAAAAGUAGGGGUCUGUUCCAAACAAAGAUCAAUUAAUUAGUUGCAUAAUGGUGGUUUUGGUGGACAUACAUGUGAUCCCCAAUACCAAUUUGAAAGGUUAAUUGUUCUAGAGAAACUCAAUGUUGUCUCAGUUUAGGAAGGACUUUAAAGAUUGUCAGAAUGUUAACUUGUUAACUUACUAUAUUUAUAGGUUAAGUUUGCUUGAUUCCAUCCAUGGGAACGUGUUCUUGUCCCCUGUUCAGGAAGGAAAUAAUUAAUAUACUUAUUUGAUUCAUUAUUCCGUGACAUGUACAGGAAUCUUGAUGCCUCUUGGCAAUGCAACAAGCCAACACCAUACAACUGCUAUAAUUUAUAUAGCUUGAACCUUUUUUCUAACUUUUUACAUAUGAAAUGCAUUACAUACCAUUUCAGUUAUUUUUUUUCUCAAAACCAAUUAUUCAGAAAUCAAGACUGGAGAGUAGCACCCUUAUAUUGUUUUGAUUUAACCAUAAUUGCAUUAAUCAAGACUGGAUAGUAUGGUAGAGCACUCCUUUACAUUUUGUAUUCCUAAUGAUCUAACCUGUUUUCUAGUGCUCGCCGUAUAUUUGUUUGAUGCAGCAUAGAGGGGGUGUACAUUGCUUGGAUUAAUUGGAUGCUGAUGAGAAGACACUAGUUGGAGAGUGACAUCAAAGAUAUAGUACAAGGCACCAUGAAUACUCAUCUUCGAGUCACCUUGACAUCAUUCAUAUGAAAACAAAUGCUAUGUUCACUUUUCUUUUCCUGCUUUCCCUUUAAUAUAAUGGUUCAGUCACUACCCUAGAGCCCACUGGAAAUAAAUAUAGUUGCUACUUGUCUCAUAUUUGACCAAAAGCUUGGGUUUUCUUUAGUGGCAUGCCAAUACUACCAUCAGCUCUCCUCCACCAGCUAUGGAGGUCUUCUUAAUUCCCGCCAAUCAGAUACCGGUUUGGUUGUUAAAAUUCUCCUGUGGGUGGGCCCCAACCCAAAGGCAACCUAAUGUUUGGUAUCCAUGAGGAGUCACCACCACCAUGGAUCCAAUUGGCAUUGGGCAUGUUAAACUAAUAUAGGGUUGCUGUUACUUAGCAUAAAACUGUGUAAAAUGAUUUCUGCUCUGCCAUCUGUUGCAUGCUCUUGUAUGAUUUGAAGACAGGGUGUAAAUCAGUUCUGAAUAUUUACCAUUUUUCUCCAAGUAAUUAUUUAAUAACCCUGUCCACACUGAUGAAUUCUCACAGGACACUUUGAAUAGGUGGGAUCAGUUAUUCAAGAAAAGAUCUGGUGCAAUUACAUUAUUAAUCGAGGCAUGCAACUGUGUUGCGCGCAAUCAUGGAGGCUUAGAAUCUGACAACUAAGCUAAAAUCAAGAUCUCGAAGUUGUACACUCGAACUGCAUUGGUUUAUGGAAAUUUGAAUAUUCCAAGUCAAGGGGAGAUGAUUCGUGCAUGAGUAUAUUUUCAGCUUUGCUAUGUGUACCAUGGGAAAUAUCACAUGGAGCUAGCUCAUCAGAUAUGAUGAACUCUGCAACAGCUACUGAAAUCUAAGAAUGAUGUAUAUGACUGAAGCAUCUGAUGGCAAUGCUGAGGAACUGAACUCUCAGCUCUAGAGUGCUCAGCACUGCUUGGUAUUUGAUCAAAGUUUCAGAAAGUGACAAGGGAGAAACGGAAACUGCGAAGAAAGGUUCUUGAUACCUGCCGGAUGUGAUGAUUGAGGUGCAAUGGCAGAUGUUGCCACUUCUCCAGAUCAUUUGGCUAAGAUGAUCUUUUUUUUCCCUUCCCGGCGAAAAGAUGAUCUUUUCUCUGAGAGGGACACUGAGUUGAGUUGUUGAUACAGAAGGUGAAAUAACUUUUUUUCAACACAGAUCUGGAGCAAGUACGCUAGAAUCUCGUCCCCUCCUCUCUGGGAGUGUAUAUAGAUAUAAUAAUUUGCUGGUUAGGAGGGAGCAUGCAUGUCCUGAUGCUUAUUUUCGUCAUAACCUUGUUAUUAAUUAUAUGCCAUAAUUGCUAAUUGUCUAUGUAAGCAUCAAGGAUGAAGCAUCUCGGUUCAAAUGGUCAAAUUGCCAGCACUUUUUUUUUGCUGCCAGAAUUCGUACUUGAUGUACCCAGUGUAAUUAAACAAGAUGCAAGAUGCACUUAUUGUGUUGUCAUCAUCUACGUCAGUGAAGCACAACAACCUGUUGAA